Carlito syrichta (Philippine tarsier) is the source of this 435-nucleotide RNA transcript. It is a transcript of the gene named tropomyosin alpha-1 chain pseudogene, with no coding region annotated. The transcript is spliced from 2 exons. The record is from RefSeq and is a predicted model, not a curated record. NCBI's taxonomy places the organism in Eukaryota, Metazoa, Chordata, Mammalia, Primates, Tarsiidae.
AAACUUAAACUUAGAGAGAUCCAGCUGAAAGAGGCCAAGCACAUUGCUGAAGAUGCCGACCGCAAGUAUGAAGAGGUGGCCGGUAAACUGGUCAUCAUUGAGAGUGACCUGGAACGUGCAGAGGAGAGGGCUGAGCUCUCAGAAGGCCAAGUUCGACAGCUGGAAGAACAACUAAGAAUAAUGGAUCAGACCUUGAAAGCACUAAUGGCUGCCGAGGAUAAGUACUCACAGAAGGAGGACAAGUAUGAGGAGAUCAAAGUCCUCUCUGACAAGCUGAAGGAGGCUGAGACUCGGGCUGAGUUUGCUGAGAGGUCAGUAACCAAAUUGGAGAAAAGCAUUGAUGACUUAGAAGACGAGCUGUACGCUCAGAAACUGAAGUACAAGGCCAUCAGCGAGGAGCUGGACCUCGCUCUCAACGACAUGACUUCCAUGUAA